UACGAAGGGGGCUAGCGUUGUUCGGAAUUACUGGGCGUAAAGGGCGCGUAGGCGGUACUUCAAGUCAGGCGUGAAAGCCCCGGGCUCAACCUGGGAACCGCGCUUGAGACUGGAGAGCUAGAGUUCGGGAGAGGAUGGUGGAAUUCCCAGUGUAGAGGUGAAAUUCGUAGAUAUUGGGAAGAACACCGAUGGCGAAGGCAGCCAUCUGGACCGACACUGACGCUGAGGCGCGAAAGCGUGGGGAGCAAACAGG
This 253-nucleotide ribosomal RNA is filed under the name uncultured bacterium. Its description in RNAcentral is "partial 16S ribosomal RNA". It matches the Rfam family "Bacterial small subunit ribosomal RNA", at positions 524 to 776 of the family's 1533-position model. The record is from RNAcentral.